AAGUCGAACGGUGAAGCCCCGCUUGCGGGGUGGAUCAGUGGCGAACGGGUGAGUAACACGUGAGCAACCUGCCCCUGACUCUGGGAUAAGCGCUGGAAACGGCGUCUAAUACUGGAUACGAGACGUGAUCGCAUGGUCAACGUUUGGAAAGAUUUUUCGGUUGGGGAUGGGCUCGCGGCCUAUCAGCUUGUUGGUGAGGUAAUGGCUCACCAAGGCGUCGACGGGUAGCCGGCCUGAGAGGGUGACCGGCCACACUGGGACUGAGACACGGCCCAGACUCCUACGGGAGGCAGCAGUGGGGAAUAUUGCACAAUGGGCGCAAGCCUGAUGCAGCAACGCCGCGUGAGGGAUGACGGCCUUCGGGUUGUAAACCUCUUUUAGCAGGGAAGAAGCGAGAGUGACGGUACCUGCAGAAAAAGCACCGGCUAACUACGUGCCAGCAGCCGCGGUAAUACGUAGGGUGCAAGCGUUAUCCGGAAUUAUUGGGCGUAAAGAGCUCGUAGGCGGUUUGUCGCGUCUGCUGUGAAAUCUGGGGGCUCAACCCCCAGCCUGCAGUGGGUACGGGCAGACUAGAGUGCGGUAGGGGAGAUUGGAAUUCCUGGUGUAGCGGUGGAAUGCGCAGAUAUCAGGAGGAACACCGAUGGCGAAGGCAGAUCUCUGGGCCGUAACUGACGCUGAGGAGCGAAAGGGUGGGGAGCAAACAGGCUUAGAUACCCUGGUAGUCCACCCCGUAAACGUUGGGAACUAGUUGUGGGGUCCAUUCCACGGAUUCCGUGACGCAGCUAACGCAUUAAGUUCCCCGCCUGGGGAGUACGGCCGCAAGGCUAAAACUCAAAGGAAUUGACGGGGACCCGCACAAGCGGCGGAGCAUGCGGAUUAAUUCGAUGCAACGCGAAGAACCUUACCAAGGCUUGACAUAUACGAGAACGGGCCAGAAAUGGUCAACUCUUUGGACACUCGUAAACAGGUGGUGCAUGGUUGUCGUCAGCUCGUGUCGUGAGAUGUUGGGUUAAGUCCCGCAACGAGCGCAACCCUCGUUCUAUGUUGCCAGCACGUAAUGGUGGGAACUCAUGGGAUACUGCCGGGGUCAACUCGGAGGAAGGUGGGGAUGACGUCAAAUCAUCAUGCCCCUUAUGUCUUGGGCUUCACGCAUGCUACAAUGGCCGGUACAAUGGGCUGCAAUACCGUGAGGUGGAGCGAAUCCCAAAAAGCCGGUCCCAGUUCGGAUUGAGGUCUGCAACUCGACCUCAUGAAGUCGGAGUCGCUAGUAAUCGCAGAUCAGCAACGCUGCGGUGAAUACGUUCCCGGGUCUUGUACACACCGCCCGUCAAGUCAUGAAAGUCGGUAACACCUGAAGCCGGUGGCCUAACCCUUCGGGGAGGGAGCU
RNAcentral lists this ribosomal RNA (1387 nucleotides) under Microbacterium sp. RNAcentral's name for it is "bacterial SSU rRNA". It matches the Rfam family "Bacterial small subunit ribosomal RNA". The record is from RNAcentral. Lineage: Bacteria; Bacillati; Actinomycetota; Actinomycetes; Micrococcales; Microbacteriaceae.